CAGAAUUGAGCAGGAGGAAGUGGAGGUGAGCAGGUUUGUGCAGGAGGAAAAGGAGGUGAGCAGGCUUGAGCAUGAGGAAGUGGAGGUGAGCAGGCUUGAGCAGGAGGAAGUGGAGGUGAGCAGGUGUUCAGCAGGAGGAAUAAGAGGGGAGCAGGAGGAAGUGGAGGUAAGCAAGCUUGAGCAGGGGGAAAUGGAGAUGAGCAGGUUUGAGCAGGAGGAACAGGAGGUGAGUUGGAGGAAGUAAAGGUGAGCAGGGUUGAGCAGGAGGAGGGCGGUGAGAGCGAGGAGGUGAGCAGG
Molecule: long non-coding RNA, 297 nt
Organism: Anguilla rostrata (American eel)
Lineage: Eukaryota; Metazoa; Chordata; Actinopteri; Anguilliformes; Anguillidae
Exons: 3
Source: RefSeq, a predicted model, not a curated record